Cricetulus griseus (Chinese hamster) is the source of this 78-nucleotide microRNA precursor. Ensembl annotates it as microRNA mir-92a. Its record names the gene Mir92a. The record is from Ensembl. NCBI's taxonomy places the organism in Eukaryota, Metazoa, Chordata, Mammalia, Rodentia, Cricetidae.
CUUUCUACACAGGCUGGGAUUUGUUGCAAUGCUGUGUUUCUCGAUGGUAUUGCACUUGUCCCGGCCUGUUGAGUUUGG